GCCUAGGUGGCUUAGUGGUUGAGCGUCUGCCUUUGGCUCAGGACAUGAUCCUGAAGUCCUGGGAUAGAGUCCCACUUUGGGCU
RNAcentral lists this transfer RNA (83 nucleotides) under Canis lupus familiaris (dog). It matches the Rfam family "tRNA". Rfam says of the family: Transfer RNA (tRNA) molecules are approximately 80 nucleotides in length. Their secondary structure includes four short double-helical elements and three loops (D, anti-codon, and T loops). RNAcentral also lists the same sequence under 1 other name. Lineage: Eukaryota; Metazoa; Chordata; Mammalia; Carnivora; Canidae. The record is from Rfam by way of RNAcentral.